Molecule: ribosomal RNA, 797 nt
Filed under: Isochrysis galbana
Lineage: Eukaryota; Haptophyta; Isochrysidales; Isochrysidaceae
Description: partial Bacterial large subunit ribosomal RNA
Rfam family: Bacterial large subunit ribosomal RNA
Source: RNAcentral
CCUGGCGACUGUUUAACAAAAACACAGCUCCCUGCGAACACGUAAGUGGAUGUAUAGGGGGUGACGCCUGACCAAUGCCGGAAGGUUAAAUACGGAGGGUCUAAUGACUUUUAGUUGUUAGGCUGGACUGUAUAAGCCCCGGUCAAUGUCAGCGAUAACUAUAAUCGUUCUAAGGUAGCGUAUUUCCUUGUCGGGUAAGUUCCGACGUGCACGAAUGGCGUAACGACUGGGAAACUGUCUCAAGGACCUGCUCGGUGAAAAUACAAUCCCGGUAAAGAUGCCGGGUACCUGCAGUUAGACGAAAAGACCCCAGGAGCUUUACUGUAGCUUCAUAUUGGGGCUAUUGAAUUAAUGCGUAGUAUAGUGGGGAGACUUUGAAGCGGGCUUUCGGGUACCGUGGAGUCGCCAGUGAAAUACCCAUCUUUAUUUUGGUAGUCUCUAACCAGCUAGGAAAAACCUAGUUGGAACAGUGUGUGGCAGGCAGUUUAAGUGGGGCGCUUCCCUCCUAAAGAGUAACGGAGGGGUUCCAAGGUCAACUAGGCGCGAAUGGAAACCGUGCCGAUAGUGUAAUGGCAUAAGUUGGCUUGACUGCAAGGCGUAGAUGCCGCGCAGACACGAAAGUGGGACAUAGUGAACCGAUGGUACGCUUUAGAUGCGGCCGGAGAUUACCCGAUAAAAGUUACCCUGGGGAUAACAGGCUAGUCGUGCCCAAGCGUCCAAAGCGACGGCACGGUUCGGCACCUCGAUGUCGGCUCGACUUAUCCUGGGGCUGGAGCAGGUCCCAAGGGUUUGGCUGU